RNAcentral lists this ribosomal RNA (452 nucleotides) under uncultured bacterium. RNAcentral's name for it is "bacterial SSU rRNA". It matches the Rfam family "Bacterial small subunit ribosomal RNA", at positions 28 to 507 of the family's 1533-position model. The record is from RNAcentral.
GAUGAACGCUGGCGGCGUGCCUAACACAUGCAAGUCGAGCGAUUUACUUCGGUAAAGAGCGGCGGACGGGUGAGUAACGCGUGGGUAACCUGCCCUGUACACAUGGAUAACAUACCGAAAGGUAUGCUAAUACGAGAUAAUAUACUUUUAUCGCAUGGUAGAAGUAUCAAAGCUCCGGCGGUACAGGAUGGACCCGCGUCUGAUUAGCUAGUUGGUAAGGUAACGGCUUACCAAGGCGACGAUCAGUAGCCGACCUGAGAGGGUGAUCGGCCACAUUGGAACUGAGACACGGUCCAAACUCCUACGGGAGGCAGCAGUGGGGAAUAUUGCACAAUGGGCGAAAGCCUGAUGCAGCAACGCCGCGUGAGCGAUGAAGGCCUUCGGGUCGUAAAGCUCUGUCCUCAAGGAAGAUAAUGACGGUACUUGAGGAGGAAGCCCCGGCUAACUACGUG